CUGUGUUUUAAUGUGUUGUGUUUGUCGGAACCCCUGAUUACAUUUUUGUUAAGCGCAG
This 58-nucleotide microRNA precursor is filed under the name Glycine max (soybean). Its description in RNAcentral is "miR2108a stem-loop (gma-MIR2108a)". Lineage: Eukaryota; Viridiplantae; Streptophyta; Magnoliopsida; Fabales; Fabaceae. The record is from miRBase by way of RNAcentral.